This 1639-nucleotide long non-coding RNA is filed under the name Strongylocentrotus purpuratus (purple sea urchin). RNAcentral's name for it is "uncharacterized LOC115924535, transcript variant X2". The record is from RNAcentral. Lineage: Eukaryota; Metazoa; Echinodermata; Echinoidea; Camarodonta; Strongylocentrotidae.
GACGGUUCCAUGUCAGGUCGCCCAAUGUCAGCCCGCCCCCUUACAAAGUCGCCCUCAAUUGGUCAUGUCGCCUCCCGAUUUUUUGUGCCGAUUUUGGGAUUCUUGGUCAGCUCGCCCCCACUUUUUUGGUCAUCUCGCCCCCUAAUUUGUUGUUUUAAUUUGAUGUAUUUUACAAGUUCAAAGUCAAGCCAUUUUUAGUUCCUUGCAUCUCAGUACUAUGUUAUUACUUUGUUAUCACUAAAUAUUGAAAAUUUUCCUCGUAACUGCAUAUUUUUGAGGAUAUUUGCAUCUAAGUUUCCACCGGCUUACGUAGUAGGUCUACUACCUCAUCGCUCGUUCUGACUCGACUGGCUUAGUUCUAGUGACGGAGCUUACGGAUGAAUGCUUGAAUUCAGUUGCAGAUGCAGUAGAUACAAUUUGCACUUAUAUGAAGGAAGCACUGGGAAAGUACAUCUACUUUUCAAAAAUGCCACAGGCCAGAAACAAAUCCAGAUUGGAUACAGGGACCGACAUGCUGGGAAGAUGGGUCCUUGAUAAUUCACUGAACACAGAGCUGCAGAUGUGACUUGGCAUAGUGACCUAAGAGUGGGAGCGGUACGGAACCGUUGAAGCAAUUCACCGAACACUGUUGAAGCAAUUCACUGAACACAGUCAGAGCUGCAUGUGUGACUUGGCAUGGUGACCCUUAAAGUCUCCUGACGGCUCCGAUUGCGAUUCUGAUGAUGAACCAUUGUCUAUGCUUCUGAGCGAGUCAAAAGUCUAGAUCAAGAAUCUUCGCUGCUUCAACCACUAUCGCUUGGAUGACAUACGUGUGAAGAAACUUGAAGAACUUGUGUUGAAGAGCAUGCUUGAGAAACUAGAAUCAAUUACAUUGAUCGUUUUGGCAAUGCUUCAAUGUUUCAAUACCUCAAUCUCUCUUUUAUACUGUUUGAUUUUAGACAUUUUGAAUAUCAUAAAUAAAGCAAACUCCACUCAUAAUUGUAAUUGUGUGUAGUAAUUGCAAUGAAAUAGAUCCAUUUAAAAUCAAUGAAUUGAUUUAAAGCAAACUGGUAACAUUUUCCAUGAUUUCUUAAACAAUGAACUGAAUGGUCGUAAAGGUGUUUGGUAAACUUUGUAGCGUUUGAGACUGUGUACUAAAUUUUAUUGAAAUAUCCUAGAAAGAGAUUGUGUAAACUGACUUGGUUCUGAUACUCUACUCACAAGAUAUUUAUGAAAAACAGAGAUGAACAAAAAAAGUAACGAUGAUGAUUAUAUUAGUCAUUUUUCCUAUUGAAAAACUUCAUGAUACAUGUAGUACAUGUAUGUCAAGCAUUUUGUAUGUCACAUGUGGCAUUUCCUCCCUACGAUUGCUGAACAAACAUGAUAACCAGGACAUGUAUAACGAAUUAGAUAAAGACAUUUUAGCAUAUUUACAAGUACUGUAUAAUGAAUGAAAUAACCUUUGUAUUCCGUGGAUGUAUACCUGAUGAGUCUUUUCGAAAAACCCUAGAUGUACAUUUCAAAAUGCAAUACAGUAUUGAUGAUAAUUGAUGAUGAUAUGUUUGGUAUGAAUUAUUUAAUAUUUUUGAAUUUAUGCUCUAUUUGCCACUUGCUGUUCUGGUUCCAAAUGUUUGAAUUAAAACUGCUCAGUCGAAAUUCA